RNAcentral lists this long non-coding RNA (600 nucleotides) under Bos indicus x Bos taurus (hybrid cattle). Its description in RNAcentral is "lncRNA (ENSBIXG00000011283.1)". The record is from RNAcentral. Lineage: Eukaryota; Metazoa; Chordata; Mammalia; Artiodactyla; Bovidae.
GGCCGGGGAGGCGGGGCCGGGGAGGCGGGGCCGGGGCCCUCAGGGCGCUGGGCCGGGACUGGUCUUCUCUCAGGUCGCUCAGAAAGCUGAAAGGCAGGAUAUUAGAAAGAACAUUUGCUCAAAGCAUGCAGGCUUUUUUUUUCUCCAUAAACAUAAAAAGGGGACAGCACAGGAAAAUAUGAAAAGACCGUGCUUCCUGCCGUUUCAGCGAGGAUUUCAGGCCAGAAGCAGAGGGAGGAAGUUUGGCUGGAAGUUCUGGAGCCAAUACUUGGACUAGGCUCCGGCCAGGGAGGCCCCAGGGCAUCAGCCCUGCCCUGCUGUGGGCAGGAGGGAGGGGCAUCCGCGAGCAGCACCUGGAGGAGGGCGGAACUCUGAGCCCAAGAGAACCUCUGAGAAGCACGGCAUGGGCCUUCUCCUGUGUCUGCAAUGGGCUCUCAUCCCCGACUGCACCCCGGCCCUGUGCUCUACGAAUCCUCCCUUACUGCUACUGCUGCUGCUAAGUCGCUUCAGUAGUAUCUGACUCUGUGCGACCCCAUAGAUGGCAGCCCACCAGGCUCCCUUGCCCCUGGGAUUCUCCAGGCAAAAACACUGGAGUGGGUU